RNA transcript from Acinonyx jubatus (cheetah), 1836 nucleotides. It is a transcript of the gene named serine protease 33-like, with no coding region annotated. The record is from RefSeq and is a predicted model, not a curated record. The transcript has 4 exons. Lineage: Eukaryota; Metazoa; Chordata; Mammalia; Carnivora; Felidae.
GGCUGCGGGAAGGGGGCUGGGGAUAGAGGGUGAAGGAGGUGGCCUCCGCGGGGGGUGGGGGGCACCCAUCCCUGGAGGGCUGAGAGUCCAGGUUCUCUUAAAACUGCCGACCCAGACUUGGGUUCGAGUAACAGGAACUCGGGUGCAGGACAGACAUGGGGACAGGCAGUGGGGGGUGUGUAGCCUCCAGGGAGGAGCUCCACGUGGAUGGGGCCUGACCUUUGAAGAUCCUGAGGGUCAAACCACAUGGACAGGGUGAAGGCACCUAAAUGAGGCCCAGCUGCCUUAGCAAUGAGUGAGCUCCCCAUCUUGAGAGAAAAGCAAGCAGAGCUGAAUACCCACCUACACUGAGCUUCUGGGCAGGAAGGUGAGGCAAGCUUCCCCACAGGGAAGAUAGGGAGGGGCUGGGGACAGGCAUGCAAAGAAGACUUCACAAAAGUGGGCUUUGAAGGCUGAAUAGGAGUUCUCUCGGUGGGCAGGGCGGAGAUGAUGUGCCCAGUCUCUGACCUACAUUACUCCCUCUAAUCCUCACAAGACCCCUCGGGGUGGAACUAGGAAACCGAGACCCUGAGAGGUUAGGUAGCUUUCUCCAGCUCACACAGGAUCGCAUCGCAGGCAGCCUGGCCUCGGGCGGGAGGGGGCGAGAGGUCGGAUCUGGGGCUGCAGAGGUUAGCAGGGGCCUGGAUGGAAAGGCGGCGGGUCAGACAGGAAAGAAAUGAACGCCAGACCCCCCCCCCCCCCCGGGGUGUGGGGGUCCCGGAGCGGAGCUGUGAGGCCUCAUUUCCUGAGGUGCGGGAAUCAGGCCGGCGGAGGCCAACAGCAGGAAGGGCCCGGCCGCGUGGCCUUGGCAGGCAAGCAUCUUCCUGGAUGCCCGCUACUGCUGCGAGGGGGCCCUCAUCUCCCAAGAGUGGGUGCUCGCAGGAGCCAGCUGCUUUGGCAGCGGGCCUCGGUCCCAGUUCAGAGUGACCCUGGGCCCAGACCGCCUGGUGCUGGACAGUUGCAAGAGCAUUUCCCGUGUAGAGGAGCUGCUCCUGUCCCCAGGAGGGAGUGAGGGCUCUGCGUCCGGUGGCCUGGCCCUGGCUCGACUGGCAAGGCCACCACCUCUCAGCAGCGCCGUGCAGCCGGUCCCUCUGGCCACCCGGCCCCAACCUUUCCUCCCACGGCUGCUCUGAUGGGCCCAAGGGUUUGAGGCUGAUAUCGAUCCCUACAUCCCACCCCGAGAGCUGCACAGUGUCCCGCUGAGACCACUGCAUAUCCACACCUGCAAAGAUGCCUUUCGCCUCCACCCUGACUGUCCUGACCCGGAGGCCAGCCUGCCUGAGGGCUCCCAGUGCACCAAGCCCCCCACCGGCCCCUCUGAACUGGUGGUGUCUGAUGGGAGCCCCCUGGUCUGCUUCCAAGCUAACAGCUGGCUGCUACAGGGGGCGAUCACCUGGGGUCCCUGCUGGGGGCCUGGCCUCCCAGAAGUCUACAGGCCUGUGCAUCCCUUCAUUUCCUGGAUCAGAGAUAAGGUCUCUAAUGCCACUUUUCCCACCCUGGCCAAGAAGCGCCGUUGGGCCCCGCCUGGGACCAGACAGAGGAGGCAGUGAGGAUCUUUAGCCUGUGAAGUCCUGGGUUUGAACCCUGAUCCGGCUACUUACCUGCCUCUGUGACUGUUCCCAGCAAACUCCCCUCUCUGGAUCUGCUUCCUCUUUGAGUAAUUGAGAUGUAUUCACAAUUAUUCCUUCAUCCAACAAUGUUACCAGUGCUUCCUAUGUGCCAGGCAACCAGAACACAGGAUCAGUGGGGCCCCUGGUCUCAGGCAACAGGCGGGCUUGUCUAGAGGAGGGGAGGCAA